UACGUAGGGUGCAAGCGUUGUCCGGAAUUAUUGGGCGUAAAGAGCUCGUAGGCGGUUUGUCGCGUCGAAUGUGAAAUCCCGGGGCUCAACCCCGGGCCUGCAUUCGAUACGGGCAGACUAGAGUUCGGUAGGGGAGUCUGGAAUUCCUGGUGUAGCGGUGAAAUGCGCAGAUAUCAGGAGGAACACCGGUGGCGAAGGCGGGACUCUGGGCCGAUACUGACGCUGAGGAGCGAAAGCGUGGGGAGCAAACAGG
RNAcentral lists this ribosomal RNA (253 nucleotides) under uncultured bacterium. Its description in RNAcentral is "partial 16S ribosomal RNA". It matches the Rfam family "Bacterial small subunit ribosomal RNA", at positions 524 to 776 of the family's 1533-position model. The record is from RNAcentral.